RNAcentral lists this ribosomal RNA (853 nucleotides) under marine metagenome. RNAcentral's name for it is "bacterial SSU rRNA". It matches the Rfam family "Bacterial small subunit ribosomal RNA", at positions 65 to 928 of the family's 1533-position model. The record is from RNAcentral.
AGCUUUUCAGUAGUUUACUACAGAAAAUGACUGAGCGGCGAACGGGUGAGUAACGCGUGAGCAAUCUACCUUAGUUACUGGGAUAGCCCGAGGAAACUCGGAUUAAUACCGGAUAAUCUUAUUACAUCACAUGAUAUUUUAAGUAAAGGUCAGCCGAACUAAGAUGAGCUCGCGUUCUAUCAGCUUGUUGGUGGGGUAAAAGCCUACCAAGGCUACGACGGAUAGCUGGUCUGAGAGGACGAUCAGCCACACUGGGACUGAGACACGGCCCAGACUCCUACGGGAGGCUGCAGCAGGGAAUAUUGCGCAAUGAGCGAAAGCUUGACGCAGCGACACCGCGUGUGGGAUGACGGUUCUAGGAUUGUAAACCACUUUCAGGAGGGAAGAAAAUGACGGUACCUCCACAAGAAGCCCCGGCCAACUACGUGCCAGCAGCCGCGGUAAUACGUAGGGGGCGAGCGUUGUCCGGAUUUAUUGGGCGUAAAGAGCUCGUAGGCGGUUCAACAAGUCGGUCGUGAAAGUUCAGGGCUUAACCCUGAAAUGUCGAUCGAUACUGUUGUGACUAGGAUAUGGUAGAGGUGAGUGGAAUUCCGAGUGUAGCGGUGAAAUGCGUAGAUAUUCGGAGGAACACCAAUAGCGAAGGCAGCUCACUGGACCACUAUCGACGCUGAGGAGCGAAAGCUAGGGGAGCAAACAGGAUUAGAUACCCUGGUAGUCCUAGCUGUAAACGAUGGAUACUAGAUGUAGGAAUUGGAUUGACGAUUUCUGUAUCGUAGCUAACGCGUUAAGUAUCCCGCCUGGGGAGUACGGUCGCAAGACUAAAACUCAAAGGAAUUGACGGGACCCCGCACAA